CUCUCUAUGUGACACAAAAAAAAUAAAAAAUUGCAAAGCCCUCGGGCCCCAGGCCCGUCGACUCCCCACCCCACCUUCGCUUGGCCUCCACACGGCUGGACCUCUCUCCACCGACCCUCGGGCCCUUUGUCCUCGCCUGUCACCCGAGCAACCAGCCUCCACUGGAGUUGCUCUAAUAUGGGGCCGCGAAGGCCACGUAUCGUUGUCGGUACGCUGCAGCCGAACCCACCGGCCCUCGGGCCUUUCCUCUCGCCUGUUCCCCGAGCAAGGUCCAACGGUGGACUUGCUCUUAAUCUUAGCAGCUCCGGCGCACAUUAGCAUUGGGCGGCGCCAAAAUAUGCCCGUUGCCACCAAAAUAUUAAAUUAUGAAUCUAUUUACUAUUUAUAAAAAUAAAAAAUUGAAAAAAAACUAAUCUAAUAAGAUUACAUUCCAAUCAUAUUUUCCAAAAACAAAUAAAAAAAAUUAAAAAAAGGGAAUUAUCCGUACUUUCACAGAAAAUUGAGAACGCAUUGCUACUCGGGGAUGGAAACCAGAACAGGCCGCCAAGAUCGUUUCAGCAACCUAUUUCGAAACGACAACCCUCCGCCUCGCCGAGUCGGAAACCUACCGGCACCGCCACCACUUCCGGUUUCCGAUAACAACCCUCGCUCUUCUUCUCCGUCCACAAUUCCUCGACCUCUCCUAUCCGAAACACUAUCUUCGAACGGCGGCGACGACACGAAGAGGUCCUUGAGCUUGCNNNNNNN
RNAcentral lists this long non-coding RNA (747 nucleotides) under Malus domestica (apple). RNAcentral's name for it is "long non-coding RNA (MDOM_LNC008734)". The record is from RNAcentral. Lineage: Eukaryota; Viridiplantae; Streptophyta; Magnoliopsida; Rosales; Rosaceae.